Molecule: ribosomal RNA, 742 nt
Filed under: uncultured bacterium
Lineage: Bacteria
Description: bacterial SSU rRNA
Rfam family: Bacterial small subunit ribosomal RNA
Source: RNAcentral
UGCAGUCGAGCGAAUGGAUUAAGAGCUUGCUCUUAUGAAGUUAGCGGCGGACGGGUGAGUAACACGUGGGUAACCUGCCCAUAAGACUGGGAUAACUCCGGGAAACCGGGGCUAAUACCGGAUAAUAUUUUGAACUGCAUGGUUCGAAAUUGAAAGGCGGCUUCGGCUGUCACUUAUGGAUGGACCCGCGUCGCAUUAGCUAGUUGGUGAGGUAACGGCUCACCAAGGCAACGAUGCGUAGCCGACCUGAGAGGGUGAUCGGCCACACUGGGACUGAGACACGGCCCAGACUCCUACGGGAGGCAGCAGUAGGGAAUCUUCCGCAAUGGACGAAAGUCUGACGGAGCAACGCCGCGUGAGUGAUGAAGGCUUUCGGGUCGUAAAACUCUGUUGUUAGGGAAGAACAAGUGCUAGUUGAAUAAGCUGGCACCUUGACGGUACCUAACCAGAAAGCCACGGCUAACUACGUGCCAGCAGCCGCGGUAAUACGUAGGUGGCAAGCGUUAUCCGGAAUUAUUGGGCGUAAAGCGCGCGCAGGUGGUUUCUUAAGUCUGAUGUGAAAGCCCACGGCUCAACCGUGGAGGGUCAUUGGAAACUGGGAGACUUGAGUGCAGAAGAGGAAAGUGGAAUUCCAUGUGUAGCGGUGAAAUGCGUAGAGAUAUGGAGGAACACCAGUGGCGAAGGCGACUUUCUGGUCUGUAACUGACACUGAGGCGCGAAAGCGUGGGGAGCAAACAGGAUU